Molecule: small nucleolar RNA, 126 nt
Organism: Suncus etruscus (white-toothed pygmy shrew)
Lineage: Eukaryota; Metazoa; Chordata; Mammalia; Eulipotyphla; Soricidae
Source: RefSeq, a predicted model, not a curated record
ACACACAUUUCAUUGGCCUGCUUUCUUUUCAUGUGAGCAGUGUUAUUUCUCACAUGCUAGAUAAUAGUUGACGACUAAUUAGCAAUAUAACUAAAUGGUGAUACUGCCAUUCUCCUUCAGACAAUU